Molecule: ribosomal RNA, 440 nt
Filed under: uncultured bacterium
Lineage: Bacteria
Description: partial 16S ribosomal RNA
Rfam family: Bacterial small subunit ribosomal RNA
Source: RNAcentral
CCUACGGGUGGCAGCAGUGGGGGAUAUUGCACAAUGGGGGAAACCCUGAUGCAGCGACGCCGCGUGGGUGAAGAAGCGCCUCGGCGCGUAAAGCCCUGUCAGCAGGGAAGAAAAUGACGGUACCUGAAGAAGAAGCCCCGGCUAACUCCGUGCCAGCAGCCGCGGUAAUACGUAGGGGGCAAGCGUUAUCCGGAUUUACUGGGUGUAAAGGGGGCGCAGACGGCGAUGCAAGCCAGGAGUGAAAGCCCGUGGCGCAACCCCGGGACUGCUCUUGGAACUGCGUGGCUAGAGUGCAGGAGGGGCAGGCGGAAUUCAUGGUGUAGCGGUGAAAUGCGUAGAUAUCAGGAGGAACACCGGUGGCGAAGGCGGCCUGCUGGACUGCAACUGACGUUGAGGCCCGAAAGCGUGGGGAGCAAACAGGAUUAGAUACCCCUGUAGUC